GAUAGGGGAAGGUUUGGUUAAGGGACUGUUGGAUAGGGGAAGGUUUGGUUAAGGGACUGUUGGAUAGGGGAAGGUUUGGUUAAGGGACUGAUGGAUAGGGGAAGGUUUGGUUAAGGGACUGAUGGAUAGGGGAAGGUUUGGUUAAGGGACUGUUGGAUAGGGGAAGGUUUGGUUAAGGGACUGAUGGAUAGGGGAAGGUUUGGUUAAGGGACUGGUGGAUAGGGGAAGGUUUGGUUAAGGGACUGUUGGAUAGGGGAAGGUUUGGU
This is a long non-coding RNA of Eriocheir sinensis (Chinese mitten crab), 266 nucleotides long. RefSeq lists it as uncharacterized. The record is from RefSeq and is a predicted model, not a curated record. NCBI's taxonomy places the organism in Eukaryota, Metazoa, Arthropoda, Malacostraca, Decapoda, Varunidae. The transcript is spliced from 4 exons.